RNAcentral lists this ribosomal RNA (373 nucleotides) under uncultured eukaryote. RNAcentral's name for it is "partial 18S ribosomal RNA". It matches the Rfam family "Eukaryotic small subunit ribosomal RNA", at positions 592 to 975 of the family's 1831-position model. The record is from RNAcentral.
CAAUAGCGUAUAUUAAAGUUGUUGCAGUUAAAAAGCUCGUAGUUGGAUUUCUGAAUGGAUGCCGAUGCCCGCCUGUUGGCGUGUGCAAAGGUGCCCGUUCAUCCUUCUGUUAAGGUUUCUUAGUAUUCAUUUACUGGUUUCCGGCUCAGAUAUUUUACCUUGAAUAAAUUAGAGUGUUUCAGGCAAGCUUGGUCUUGAAUACAUUAGCAUGGAAUAAUAGAAUAGGACUCUAGAUCCUUUGUUGGUUUCUGGAUUUGGAGUAAUGAUUAAUAGGGAUAGUUGGGGGCAUUAGUAUUUAAUUGUCAGAGGUGAAAUUCUUGGAUUUAUUAAAGACUAACUUAUGCGAAAGCAUUUGCCAAGGAUGUUUUCAUUA